CUGGCUCAGAUUGACCGCUGGCGGCAGGCUUAACACAUGCAAGUCGAGCGGUAGCACAGGGGAGCUUGCUCCCUGGGUGACGAGCGGCGGACGGGUGAGUAAUGUCUGGGAAACUGCCUGAUGGAGGGGGAUAACUACUGGAAACGGUAGCUAAUACCGCAUAACGUCGCAAGACCAAAGAGGGGGACCUUCGGGCCUCUUGCCAUCAGAUGUGCCCAGAUGGGAUUAGCUAGUAGGUGGGGUAAUGGCUCACCUAGGCGACGAUCCCUAGCUGGUCUGAGAGGAUGACCAGCCACACUGGAACUGAGACACGGUCCAGACUCCUACGGGAGGCAGCAGUGGGGAAUAUUGCACAAUGGGCGCAAGCCUGAUGCAGCCAUGCCGCGUGUGUGAAGAAGGCCUUCGGGUUGUAAAGCACUUUCAGCGAGGAGGAAGGUGGUGAACUUAAUACGUUCAUCAAUUGACGUUACUCGCAGAAGAAGCACCGGCUAACUCCGUGCCAGCAGCCGCGGUAAUACGGAGGGUGCAAGCGUUAAUCGGAAUUACUGGGCGUA
Molecule: ribosomal RNA, 554 nt
Filed under: uncultured Enterobacterales bacterium
Lineage: Bacteria; Pseudomonadati; Pseudomonadota; Gammaproteobacteria; Enterobacterales
Description: bacterial SSU rRNA
Rfam family: Bacterial small subunit ribosomal RNA
Source: RNAcentral